This 26-nucleotide ribosomal RNA is filed under the name Erysiphe verniciferae. RNAcentral describes it as "partial 18S ribosomal RNA". Lineage: Eukaryota; Fungi; Ascomycota; Leotiomycetes; Helotiales; Erysiphaceae. The record is from RNAcentral.
UAGGUGACCUGCGGAAGGAUCAUUAC